This 495-nucleotide ribosomal RNA is filed under the name uncultured bacterium. RNAcentral describes it as "partial 16S ribosomal RNA". It matches the Rfam family "Bacterial small subunit ribosomal RNA", at positions 28 to 507 of the family's 1533-position model. The record is from RNAcentral.
GACGAACGCUGGCGGCGUGCCUAAUACAUGCAAGUAGGACGCUGAAGGAGGAGCUUGCUUCUCUGGAUGAGUUGCGAACGGGUGAGUAACGCGUAGGUAACCUGCCUGGUAGCGGGGGAUAACUAUUGGAAACGAUAGCUAAUACCGCAUAAUAGUAGAUGUUGCAUGACAUUUGCUUAAAAGGUGCAAUUGCAUCACUACCAGAUGGACCUGCGUUGUAUUAGCUAGUUGGUGGGGUAACGGCUCACCAAGGCGACGAUACAUAGCCGACCUGAGAGGGUGAUCGGCCACACUGGGACUGAGACACGGCCCAGACUCCUACGGGAGGAAGCAGUAGGGAAUCUUCGGCAAUAGACGGAAGUCUGACCGAGCAACGCCGCGUGAGUGAAGAAGGUUUUCGGAUCGUAAAGCUCUGUUGUAAGAGAAGAACGAGUGUGAGAGUGGAAAGUUCACACUGUGACGGUAUCUUACCAGAAAGGGACGGCUAACUACGUG